UUUUUUUUUUUUUGUCUUUUCUAGGGCCACUCCCACAGCAUAUGGAGGUUCCCAGUAUAGGGGUCGAAUCGGAGCUGUAGCUGCCAGCCAAUGCCAGAGCCACAGCAACACAGAAUCUGAGCUGCAUCUGCAAACUACACCACAGCUCAGGGCAACACCGGAUCCUUAACCCACUGAGCAAGGCCAGGCAUCGAACUCACAACCUUAUGGUUCCCAGUCGGAUUCAUUAACCACUGAGCCACUAUGGGAACUCCCAAAAUUGCAAAGCAUUAUUAAAAGCAAAGAUGAGGGAGUGUAGUCACAGGGUUAGUGACAACUUUCUGAUUGGCUGAUGAUGAGGUAAGAGGGCAAAGUCACAGGGAUUAAUGUGAUCAGUCCUUAAACUCCAGGAAACCUGGGAGCUCUGUGCCCAUGGUCGUCAAGUAGCUAACCUCUUCCAUUUGGUUGGGGGUAGGGAGUUGACAUAGUAAAACAACUCAGGAAAUGAGCACCAGAUACUAUUAGCUAGAUACUACAGAGAGAAGAGAAAGCAGAGGAUAUAAAGGAUGAGCUGGCCCAGGGAAUGCCCCUUAGCAUCCUACUGGACUUCAAGGCUUUUAGGGUAGAGCUAGGCUUUGGAAUUGAAUAGAGUUUCAAAAGGUAGAGGAUAGAUGCAAAGGCAUUUCCUAAAGAAAGAGGCAACUUAUAAAAGGAGAAUAUCUUGGCCUUGCUUGGGACACCAAUCAUGGAUAAGAAUUUCAGACAAAUUGAGGCUAAAUUGUAAACAGGGUCACAUGAAGAAGAGGGAUGGGGAUGUUUGCUAUGAUAUUUAGACUAAAUUUGGUAUCUACAGAAACCAUCAAUACUUUCUGAGUAGUGACAUGGAGGCACAAGAUUUUGUCCUCAUUCUUCAGGUUUCUGAGAGACAAGUGUGCCAUCAGCCCCUAUGUGGAGUAGAACAUGAGCCACUGCAGCUGCCAACCCACAGAACCCCCUGAGUGGAAAUCAGGGUGGAGACCAGGAGAGAGGUACUCUGUGCUCUGGGAAGCUGGAAGAAUGGGCUUUCAGGUAGUUGGAUAUUUUCAGGAGAAGAUUUUAUGAGCCCAAUUCUUACAUCUCCUCAUAUCCAGAGAAACACUAGGGUCCAUCAAUGAUGAUUAAUAUCUGUGACUUGUGGUGACCUACAUGAGACCAGCAGAGAACACCUGUAAAAUGUGUGCAUGGCUGCAUGCACCACCCCCUUCACCUUUAUGACUUAUAUCUUCCUGGGCUGUAGUUAGUGGCCUGAACAAAAGAUGUCGUGGUCACCUGUGAGAACAGCCACCUCCAAGGGUGGGCCAAUGAGCCCUGACAGAACUCAGGAAAGCAUAUCAAAGGAGUAAUUUCAGUAAUACCAGUCUUCCCAUAGAAAUGGUUUCCUGUAAAUCUUCUGUAAGUCUGGUUCUCUAUAAAUCUUGUGUUCCUACUACCUCCCAUUUGUUGCCAAAACUCAUAUAUCCUAGCUUCCCUCAUUGCCUCCUUGAAGUGGUUUCUCAGGGCUACCUAAGAUGCUGUCUCUGGAGUUUAAGUCCUAAUUUCACCCAAAAUAAAAUUUACCUCUCAACAUUCAUGUUGUAUUUUUUUAGUCAACACAAGAGUUCUGUAAGAGCAAUGAUUUCUUUUGACCAAGGUAGACAGUGACAGUAUGAAUGAAUGAUCUCCAUUAUUAAUCUAGCAAAUGACAGUCUCUUUCCCAGGCCGAUUUCAUUUCUUACCAAGAUUUUGAAUUAUUUGCUUCCACCUUGGGAUUAACUUUAUUAAAACAAACAAACAAACAAAAAUAAAAACCGUAAGUAUUGGUUACUUAUUUAUCUGUUCUUAUCAUUGCUGUCUUUUUAGUUCCCCACUUCUUUACAGAUUUAGGGUCCUGCUGCCCACUUCCUGCUGUUAUCAAGGUCAUAACAUACAUGGUUAUGAAGCACCCUUAUCCCCCCCGUUGCUGAGUAGAAGCUUAGUUCCACUGUAAACUAGAGAUGGGCACUCACCAUCUGCCUCUACAUGGAUUUAAUCAUGAGCUACUGCACUUGCUAACCCUCAACACCCCCUGAAAGAAGCUCAGGGUGAAGAUCAAGAGGGAGGCACCCCGUGCUUUGAGAAAACUGGCAGAACAUGUUUUAGAUAGUAAAUUAUUUUCUGGAAAAAUUUUAUGAGCCAAAUUCUUGCAUUUCCUUCUAUCUAGAAAAGCACUAAAAUCCUUCAUGGUGGUAUCUGCUCCUUGUGACUAGAAGCAACCUUUAAGAAACUACAGCAAACUUCCUCAAUUUGUGUGCUUGAGUGCUUGUACAUUUCUCUUCACCAAAAUCACAUAUAUACUGACAUUCCCCCUUACCCCUUUAGAGCAGCUUUUGAGAGCUGUCUGAAAUGCUGCCACCCAGGCUGCAGUUCUCAUUUUGCCUCCAAUAAAACUUAACUGUCAACUUUUAACUUGUGCAUAUUUUUAAGUUGACACCACUAACCUCUAAGGAAAAAAAAAGUUCUUAUCACUGAGAUUCCCCAAAAAAGUCCCAAGAUAUGUAUUUUAUUUUCUUAAAUAUUAAGAAAUAUGAAGGGUAAAACAUUUGGAUUUGGAAAUGACACCUAAUAUAUACAUAUUUAACAUUUUAAAGUUGAAGAUGCUGACAUAGUGUAACUUGCCUAAAACUAAUGGACUGGACUCUAGAAAAAGAAUCAUUAAAGUGUAAUUAAACCCACUUUUCUUAGUUCUCUCUCUAGCUAAAUAUUGUAAUGAAUGUAUUAGAAAUUGCUUCUAUAAACCUAGAAAGCAUGGGGAUUUUUUGAUUCAUGGUAGUAGAUGUUUAAUCCUUCAGUGAAAUUAGAUGAACUCAGGGAACUAUAAAUGUUCAUGACUAAAAACAAGAGAUUUGUAGUCAGAUGUGCAUUCUCAUCUCAGCAAGUCAGUCUACUUAGCUCGUUGAAUUUGAGAAAAUUGCUUAUUCUCUUUAAGUUCAGUAUCUUCAGCUGUAUAAUGGGCUUAGGAAUAUUAACUUGAGGUUUUGUUUUGUUUUGUUUUUUGCCACAUUGCUGCAUAAAGAUGUUUUGGGGCAAGGGGUCAAAUCUGAGCCACAGCUGCAGCAAAAUAGAUUCUUAACCCACUCCCACUGUGCUGGGUUGGGGAUCAAACCCAUACCUCAGCAGUAAUGCAAGCCACACAGACAAUGCCUGAUCCUUAAAUGCUGUGCUACCCAGGAACUCUUAAGUUUUUAAAAUGAGUUUCUAAUGUGUCUCAAAUUGAUAUUGUUUGCCCAUGGUCUUUUCUUUUUCUUAAAAAUGUGUAUGUGUGUGUGUGUACACACAUAUAUAUUUAGAAAAACAUACAUAUAUUUUUUUAAAAAAUCAGGAAAAGGGAGACCAAAAUAUUGUUUUCUUUCAGAUGAAUGUAUGAUCACUGCAAUUAAUCCAUGUGGUAAAAUAAGCCCUUGCUGAAGUGGUGACCAAGUAAAAUGAAUGACUAACUUACUCUUUUAUGCAGCUCUUUCUUCUUAGUGAUGGCAGUACUGAGGGAGCAUGGUACCCAACAAUGCAUGGCAAGCAGUAGGCAAGGUC
Molecule: long non-coding RNA, 3561 nt
Filed under: Sus scrofa (pig)
Lineage: Eukaryota; Metazoa; Chordata; Mammalia; Artiodactyla; Suidae
Description: lncRNA (ENSSSCG00060074879.1)
Source: RNAcentral